RNAcentral lists this long non-coding RNA (1052 nucleotides) under Helianthus annuus (common sunflower). RNAcentral's name for it is "hypothetical non coding rna". Lineage: Eukaryota; Viridiplantae; Streptophyta; Magnoliopsida; Asterales; Asteraceae. The record is from RNAcentral.
GCCCUAAACACUGGUCACACUCUCCUGUAAUUAUUUACCACUAAACCCACACAUAUCAUCCAAUUUCAGUUUCCCUGGAAGCAGAGCAACGACCCCGGCGAGCCCUCACUUUCACGGUGGCACAAUACGGUUUGUAAUCUCCACGAAUCAGAACCAGAAGGAGGUACGCCGACGACGAUGCAAACGGUGGCCCUCAUUCUUAGCGGCGAUGAGUGAUUAUUGUUACCUAAGGGAAGGUGUUCUUACCCGAAGCAUCUUGGAGAUCCUUGGUUAUUUGUUAUCCAAAAACCCUAAACUCUUAAACGAAUCUUAAUUUGACCAACGCCGCCGCCAGUACCUCUGUCCACAACAGUCACCACCGUCACAUACCGUCUCGACACAAUGCCAACAUUGCAAUGGCGCACUAAAGGUCAGUAACUACUACUCCUUUGAGGUUGUUCUAUAUUUGCAGGCCACACUUUGAUCAAAACUGGUAGCUUAGACAAGAGCUUUGAAGGUAAACCGCCAUUACAAUGGCUAAUAAGCAGUAAUUCAAUACCCACUUUAGAUGAAUUUAAGGUUCAAUUCCAUUGGAGUUUCCAGAAGUUCCACGAGUUAUAAUCCUCCUGCUAAUGAAACAUUAAAAACGAUAGGCGUGAACAUAAAGAAAAGCUACCGUAAAAAGUUUUUAAGGUGAAGAUUUUUAAACCUCUUCAUCAAGAACCAACAUCUCCAAGAGUCCAUAUCACCAACAAAAAGUUGACGCCUAUGAUCAUUCGUAUUGCAUUGUACUCCGAGAUUCAAAGAUUUUAUUUUGAUAACGGCUCAAGCUGCAAAUGGAAAGUUAAGGUUACAGGUUGCAGAUCGGGUUGUCAUAUUGCAGGUUGCAUUUUGUAGAUUGCAAUUACUUGGGCUUGUUUGUCUUUACUCGGUAACAUGUCACAUCGUAUAUAAGUCGUAUUUUGUUUGUAAAACCGUUAGAUAGGUGAGAAUGCUUGUUGCACUUUCUUCAUGAACGGGUCAGAUUAACACCAUUCACUGAUGAAGCCGAACCGGUGGUCUCGGUUCGAUUU